RNAcentral lists this transfer RNA (77 nucleotides) under Vibrio phage V05. Its description in RNAcentral is "tRNA-Leu". It matches the Rfam family "tRNA". Rfam says of the family: Transfer RNA (tRNA) molecules are approximately 80 nucleotides in length. RNAcentral also lists the same sequence under 1 other name. The record is from RNAcentral. Lineage: Duplodnaviria; Heunggongvirae; Uroviricota; Caudoviricetes; Pantevenvirales; Straboviridae.
GCGCAUGUAGCCCAAUUGGCAGAGGCACUGGUCUUAGAAGCCAGAAGUUAAGAGUUCGAAUCUCUUCAUGCGUACCA